CAGGCUUAACACAUGCAAGUCGAGGGGCAGCAUGGUCUUAGCUUGCUAAGGCCGAUGGCGACCGGCGCACGGGUGAGUAACACGUAUCCAACCUGCCGUCUACUCUUGGACAGCCUUCUGAAAGGAAGAUUAAUACAAGAUGGCAUCAUGAGUCCGCAUGUUCACAUGAUUAAAGGUAUUCCGGUAGACGAUGGGGAUGCGUUCCAUUAGAUAGUAGGCGGGGUAACGGCCCACCUAGUCUUCGAUGGAUAGGGGUUCUGAGAGGAAGGUCCCCCACAUUGGAACUGAGACACGGUCCAAACUCCUACGGGAGGCAGCAGUGAGGAAUAUUGGUCAAUGGGCGAGAGCCUGAACCAGCCAAGUAGCGUGAAGGAUGACUGCCCUAUGGGUUGUAAACUUCUUUUAUAAAGGAAUAAAGUCGGGUAUGGAUACCCGUUUGCAUGUACUUUAUGAAUAAGGAUCGGCUAACUCCGUGCCAGCAGCCGCGGUAAUACGGAGGAUCCGAGCGUUAUCCGGAUUUAUUGGGUUUAAAGGGAGCGUAGAUGGAUGUUUAAGUCAGUUGUGAAAGUUUGCGGCUCAACCGUAAAAUUGCAGUUGAUACUGGAUAUCUUGAGUGCAGUUGAGGCAGGCGGAAUUCGUGGUGUAGCGGUGAAAUGCUUAGAUAUCACGAAGAACUCCGAUUGCGAAGGCAGCCUGCUAAGCUGCAACUGACAUUGAGGCUCGAAAGUGUGGGUAUCAAACAGGAUUAGAUACCCUGGUAGUCCACACGGUAAACGAUGAAUACUCGCUGUUUGCGAUAUACUGCAAGCGGCCAAGCGAAAGCGUUAAGUAUUCCACCUGGGGAGUACGCCGGCAACGGUGAAACUCAAAGGAAUUGACGGGGGCCCGCACAAGCGGAGGAAUAUGUGGUUUAAUUCGAUGAUACGCGAGGAACCUUACCCGGGCUUAAAUUGCAGAUGAAUUACGGUGAAAGCCGUAAGCCGCAAGGCAUCUGUGAAGGUGCUGCAUGGUUGUCGUCAGCUCGUGCCGUGAGGUGUCGGCUUAAGUGCCAUAACGAGCGCAACCCUUGUUGUCAGUUACUAACAGGUUCCGCUGAGGACUCUGACAAGACUGCCAUCGUAAGAUGUGAGGAAGGUGGGGAUGACGUCAAAUCAGCACGGCCCUUACGUCCGGGGCUACACACGUGUUACAAUGGGGGGUACAGAGGGCCGCUACCACGCGAGUGGAUGCCAAUCCCAAAAACCUCUCUCAGUUCGGACUGGAGUCUGCAACCCGACUCCACGAAGCUGGAUUCGCUAGUAAUCGCGCAUCAGCCACGGCGCGGUGAAUACGUUCCCGGGCCUUGUACACACCGCCCGUCAAGCCAUGGGAGCCGGGGGUACCUGAAGUGCGUAACCGCGAGGAGCGCCCUAGGGUAAAACUGGUGACUGGGGCUAAGU
Molecule: ribosomal RNA, 1439 nt
Filed under: uncultured organism
Description: 16S ribosomal RNA
Rfam family: Bacterial small subunit ribosomal RNA
Source: RNAcentral